AACUGACAUCAGGAGCCCUGAUGCUAUUUGAGUCGGAAGCCAGAUGGCUGAUAAGGAAAAUGCAAGUAGCAGGUGACAAUUAGCACACACACUGCCUUAGACUACCUGCAUACCCCAGGACUGAAAGAUUCACCAAUCAGACAAGCAAAAUGAUGAAGACUGACAACUACAAAUUGGCUAUUUCUUUCAACUUUUUUUGAAACUUAAAGGAAUUCUGAAAAUCCUUCAUUCUUGAAGAUCAAAAGCUACUGUAAACCUGGGUAUUGCACUGUUGUGCCUGAUCCAUUCCCUUCUCUGGUUUCCAGAAACUGGUAUGUAUGAACUUGCAUUAAACGUUUUAAGUGAUUAAAGCCCUGUAAAGGACAGUGAGUUACAUGUGAAAAUCUCUCUUCUAAAUUAGCGAUAACAUGGGAAGUAUCCAAAACAAGUCAGUUCAUGUAAUGCAUACGUUUGGGUUACCAGUCCCCAUGGGAAUAUGUCAGAAGACAAGCUAUGUUACUAAGUUAACCAAACACAAAUUUGUCUUACAAUUUUUCCGUUCAUUCAAAUGGGACAUGAAUAUUUUGUUUCCUAAUCUGCACAAUUACCCUGGAGCUCAUGUUGUAAUGUGUCAGUACAAUGACAGCUUCCCCUGAAUGACAACUCACAGCUAUAGUGAAAAAUGACAGGAUUUGUAAACUAAGGUUGUUUAAAGAAAAGGCACAGUUCUUGAGUGACUAUUUCUCAGUUAAUCAUAACUGCAUUUUACAAUACACCUUAAAGAUACUUAUUUUAAAAUGGGUCUAAUUAACAUGCUUAAAGGGACUUGUAGUGGUGUAUAACACAGAAUAUGCUGUACUACCACCUACUAACGCAAUAUUGUUGAUGGCAAUUAGAAGAUGCUCAAGAGAGAUUCUACACAUUCUACAAUGCGAUCUAGUAAAAACAAGCCAGUAGUAAUGGGUCUCAGAGUUUGUAAAUGUUCACCUUAGUGGCAGGCUUUUUCAUCAUGCCUUUUCUUGUUACUUGGGUAGUUACUGUCACUAGCCUUUUUUCUAAUGGAGGCCUUAUUUUUCAUGUAGCAUAAGCCACUACUUGUCUCCCUGAAUGUACAUUUGUGUGGAACUCUGUUAUAUAUGAUAUUUCAUUCUAUUUAUCCUGAAGUUUCCUUAAUGGCAUCUUGCUUAACAAAAAAGGUGAAAUGAGUAUUUUACACUCAUAAGCGUAGGAAAGGAGUCUUGGACUGAAAGCUGACUGGGAAGCUCUCUCGUGAUUUUCAUCCUCAUGAAUGGAGCUAGAACUCUGAAUAUAAAUCACUGUAAGGUUUGCUAUGUUUUUUAAAUAUGAGUUUUGGAACUUGAACUUGUAUCUGUGCCAUACACUGACUGUAUUUAGUUUCAGCUCUUGGGACAAGGGAUUGACUAUGUAACAUUUGUACGGCAGCUAGCAUAAGCCUUUAUUUGUACCUGCGGAGUAGGGGAAUUGCUGCAAAAUAAGUACCUAAUUCUAAUAAUAAUGUGAUCCCCCCAAAAUAAGGAGAAUAACUCCCAACAUUCUAAGUGCUUUUGAACACUUUCAAAAUGUUCAGAAAGUCUGCGAAAUGUUCAGAAAGUUUUAAGGUGUAGUAAGACAGAAGUCUUAACAUAAGUAUGCUGCAGACAUUAAAAAGACUAAUGCUGUUGUCAUGCUGAUUUCAUUUUUCUUUUGUUGUAUAAAUAUAUAUAUAGUACAUAAAAAAAAUAUUGGAGAUGAUCUGAAUUGGUUCAUAAAACCUUGCUGGUUUGCAAAUCAUUACGAUAUUUUAACUGCACUGCCUGGUUCUGAGUUAGUGUCUGUAGGCAUCUUGCAUUAUAUUAUACCUGGGAAUUGCAGCUGAAACUUGUGGCUACACAAUACUGUUCUGGAAACUUGGUAUUUAAGGUUGAAGGAACAGAGCAACUUCUAUGCAAGAUCUCUGAUGCGAAAUUCUGGUCAUGGUAACUUCUAUAGCUUCUCCUUUGUUUAAAUAAUGCUGAUUGGUUUUGCCUUUCCACUGCACUUCAGUGGAAGCACCUUUUUUUUUUUUGACUUUUUACUUUCAGCUUAGCUUCUUAGAUUCUUCAUGUUUAUGGCCAUUGAUUUUCUUGAGAUGUUCCUACAAUGCUUAAGAAAUUCUUCUCUAAUUAAUCAUGCCAUAUGUACUUGAUACCAAAACCCAGAGACUUUGAAAGGUGCAUUGCUUUCUAGAAAGUGUAUACUUCUAUACAUUUUACUCAGUAUAUGUAGAUAUGCAUGGUUGGUAAAUAUUUGGUAUAUUGGUACUUGAAGAAGGUCUGUAUUGGGUUUGUGUGGCAAGGUUUUGGUAGUGGGGUGGGAUGGUAUAGGGGUGGCUUCUGUGAGAAGCUGCUAGAAGCUUCCCCCAUGUCCGACAGAGCCAAUGCCAGUCGGCUCUGAGACAGACCUGCUGCUGGCCAAGACCGAGCCUGUCAGUGAUGGUGGUGGUGCCUCUGGGAGAACAGAUUUAAGAAGGGGAAAAAAACCUGCAGCCAAAGAGAGCAGGGAGAACAUGUGAGAGCAACAG
Long non-coding RNA from Harpia harpyja (harpy eagle), 2539 nucleotides. RefSeq lists it as uncharacterized. NCBI's taxonomy places the organism in Eukaryota, Metazoa, Chordata, Aves, Accipitriformes, Accipitridae. The record is from RefSeq and is a predicted model, not a curated record. The transcript is spliced from 4 exons.